GUUCGGUCAGUGAUGGCGAUGGGGAUGGGGAUGGACCCCCAGGUCCGUGCGGUCGGUGAUGGGGAUGGAUGUCCCAGUGCGUUCGUUCGGUGAUGGGGAUGGAUGUCCCGGUGCUGUCAUCUGUGUUCUGCAGGAAGCGACUCCAAACUCUGGGAACAGCGAGCGUCACUGGGGCUCCUCUUCACUAAAAUAACAGCACGGGGUCAUCACUAACGAGACAUCGCAACUUCACCCAGAAUGACCAGCAGCGAAUAAAAAUCAGAGCUUGCUCUGGGAUGCCGCUGCAGACACAGCGAGUUCAUGGGGUUCCUAUAAUCUUACAGCAUUGGAAAGAGACAAAUUUGCAACAAACCAUUGGCUUCCCUGGGCUGUUUUGGAAACAUUGCACCUCCAGCCUGCGGGGUGGCUUUGCACAGGUUUUGUCUCUGCUCUUGGCUCAGCUGCAGCUCAACAGCCCUGGAAGAAAAACGAGAGCAGAAGAUAUUCCAGGACUCUGAGGAUCAAUCUGUGUCCUCCUGCUCAUGAUGGCUGGUCUUCACAAUGGGGAAGAUGAUCCCAGAAGUUCCCUGUCCUUUGGGAGAUCCAUGCCAGCACUCAGGGAUGAAAAGCACUCCUGAUAAAUGCUAGAACACCUCAGGCUCUCAGUGAAGUGCUGGAAAAAUCUCUCAUUCCCAUCACAUUUUAAUAACAGCAAGAUCAGAAGUGUGGGGACUCAAUGUGAGGGAAGAGAGAAACUAAAGCCUGCAUGGCUGAGCACAAAAUGAUCCACACCAGCAAAAGUUCUCCCAAGUCCUCAGGAUCUCAGACUGGAAGUUUGAUCAGAAGCAAACUGUAAUUAUUUCAUCUGUUCUCCGGGGAGAGCAAGGAAUAUGAACCCUCCUGAUGGAACUACACAAAUGAUGCACGCAGGAAUUCCAGGAAAACCAGCCCUGAGAACGAGUGGGCAGGAUACACUAGAGAGCUGUCCCAGCUCAUUGGAGAUCAGCUGAUUUUCCGGAAUUCCAUCACCACUCAGCCAGAGUCCCUGGGCUUUAGUAAGGGGAGGUUAUCCUGGCAGACACUUCUCAGCUCUACAAGUCUGUAGAAUUUGGAUGCCUACAUUUUGCUCUCGCUUCAGUGAAUUGUGUUGGGAAAAAAUUAGCAGGAGAAAAUAAUUUGGAUUUAGAUCUCACUUUCAUAGACAUGCAUUCCUUAACAAAGGGCAAAGAUUGUCGUGUCAACACAAAAGAUAUAUUUCCAUUUUCUGACCCCAAAACAGCAAGGGUUUGUUGUAUAAUUAAGUUUGCACUCAUUUGUUUUCCUGCACCCUGAAUCUUUUCUGGAGCACGUCACAGGGCAAAAGGGACUAAUGAUGGAUAAUUGGAAUUCAUCCCUGCGAGUGCCAUUCUACACACACUGAAACUUCACAGAGCAAACACAUCCGAGUGCAGCUCCUUUCAGCACUCACACACACCAAACAAUAAAAACCCUCCUUCACUCUGGCCAUGCUUCUCUUUGCUGUAAGUAUAAGCAAAAAUUAUAUUGAGGAUUUUGAAUUAAUAUCCCGCAGGAUGAGUGAAGAUUUAUUUUGGCGUGUAGGAUGAUGCAGAAGAUCCGUUCUGUUGACAGUUCUGAACAGAAGCCCCCACAAAGAAAGUAAAGAUUUUGCAGAAUCUUCAACAACUACAGUGAACUGCGGGGAGGAUGAAGAACGCAGGAAUUGUGAGUUUCCUGAUGGAGAGGGGGAACCAAAGCACCCUUCCUGGAAAGAGCCUGGAACCACGCUCUUGACGCCCCUUAUGGGAGAUCCGUGUGGAUAUUUGAUGUAUUUAUAUGGACGGGUGAGAUUCCCGUGGGUAUUUGAGAUAAUUAUGUGGAUUGCUCCGUUCCCCUCUAUGGACCAGAGAGGCCUCAUCAGAGCACUGCUCCAGAGCCUUCAUCAUCUGCACAGGCUCUGCAGAUGGUGGCGAUUCCGGCAGGGGUGUUCACCAUGGGCACCCACGAACCCGAAAUCCAGCAGGACGGAGAGGGGCCUGCCCGGAGAGUCCACAUUGGCAGCUUCUACAUGGACCAGUACGAGGUCAGCAACCAGGAGUUCGAGAGAUUUGUGAAUUCCACGGGCUACAUCACUGAGGCAGAGAAAUUUGGUGACUCCUUUGUGUUUGAGGGGAUGCUGAGUGAAGCAGUGAAGGCUGACAUCCACCAAGCAGUGGCAGCUGCUCCCUGGUGGCUGCCUGUGAAAGGAGCCAGCUGGAAGCACCCUGAGGGCCCUGACUCCAGCAUCUCCAGCCGAAUGGAGCAUCCAGUCCUGCACGUUUCCUGGAAUGAUGCCGUGGCCUUCUGCACGUGGGCAGGGAAGCGGUUACCCACGGAGGCCGAGUGGGAGUACGCCUGUCGAGGGGGCCUUGAAAACAGGCUUUUCCCAUGGGGUAACAAGUUGCAGCCCAAAGGACAACACUAUGCCAACAUCUGGCAGGGAGAAUUCCCCACCAACAACACGGCAGAGGACGGGUACAAGGGGACUGCACCUGUCUCUGCCUUUCCCCCCAAUGGUUACGGCCUCUACAACAUGGUGGGGAACGCCUGGGAGUGGACAUCUGACUGGUGGGCUGUGCACCACUCCCCACAGGACCUCCACAACCCUAAAGGGCCGUCCUCGGGCACGGACAGAGUGAAGAAGGGUGGAUCCUACAUGUGCCAUAAGUCCUACUGCUACAGGUACCGCUGUGCGGCUCGGAGCCAGAACACCCCCGACAGCUCCGCGUCCAACCUGGGCUUCCGCUGCGCCGCCGACGCCGCGCCGGGGCCACGCUGACAGGGGGUGUUCCUCGGGCACAGCAGGGGCUGGAGCCCACCCCCGGGAGAAGAAACGUGAGCACUGGCCCUUGGUGAUGACACAGAAUGGAAAAGCCUCGCUCGGGGUUCCUGCCGAGGGAAGGAAAACCAGCACGACUCAACAGCGCUUGGAGAACCUUCGUGUUCGUGAGCAGCCCGGCCUGGGUUUCAAUCCUGACCAGAGUGCUUUGGUGUCAGCUGGAACAAAACUGAGCAGAAACACGCCAGUGAUGUUUUCAAAGAUGACUUAAUCUCAGAAUUACUUAGGCUGGAAAAGACCUCCGGUAUUAUUGAGUCCGACCCUUGACUGAUCACCGCCUUGUCAACUACAACGGCUCCUCUUUAGACGAGAUCUUUAUUAAUUUUAUUUAUGUAGAGCUUCUACACUCAAAUGCAAUAAGCAAAGACUAUAAACUUCUAGACAGCUUUAAAAGGAAUCCUAGGCAUUUAGGAAAUUCUAGGCAGCUUUGAGAGAGAAAUGAAGGAGUCAAGAAUGAGAGCUGGGAGGUGACAGCUCUCCCCACAGGCAGCUCGCACAGCCCUUUGUUACAUUCCACUUGCAGUGAAAAUCACGUCCAGAAAUGGCCUUCUUCUGGGGAGAUGUUUGCUGAUCUUUAGGAAGUGCCUUCUGCAGCUGAGGGUGAUGAUCCUCAGGCUGAUGAUGAUUAGAAAUCUUGUACAUAUUUGAAUAAAAUGUCAAGCGUUUGUUUAUGCCAAAGACUUUUAUUGAUGGAAAAACACAAUUUCCUUUGAAUUUCUUGGAUGCAAUGUAAGCUUAUUUUAAGGACUUGGAAAAUGCAAAACUGGCCUCAUUAGAAACUGAAGCUAAUGAAUGAUUCCACUUGAAUAAAAGUCAUGGAAGUGAUGGCAGAUGGAACUGUGAGCCCUAAGGCCUAAUAGGGUAAAUUUCUAAACUGUUUUGUUGAAAACAAAAUUCCUCAUUGAAAAGGAGAGGAAUUUUAGCAAGUAAGAAGGGAAAUGGGAGUAAUUGAAAGCAACCUCAUUUUGGGAUCUGAACGUAACGGUGGAUUAACAAAAGCCUUGGCACUGAUGCUGGUCCUUGCCAGUGUUGUCUUUGCUGUAGCAAAUUGUGUUUGAGUUUAAUGCAAAUCCAUCACCUGCCAGCUCCUUCUGCACUGGUUUCAUGUUGAAAAGAUGACCCAGGAGAAUGCCUGGGCAGCCCUUCACUAAACACCAGCCUCCAGUGGGGUCCAGGAGGGAAAGAGGAAGUGGAUUGGAUCAUCUGCUCACAGCCCUGUGGUCUGAAAGCAGCUGGUGUGAUGCCUUUUCAGGGAGAAAACCAGAUAAAACUCUCCUCUACACAAGAGGCCUUGCAGUCCAGGCUGUGCUCUGGACUCCUGUGCGUUCCAAGGUCUGGGAUCCAGGGAGCUUCUCUGCUUGUAGCAGCAAGAACCCUUACUGAGGCAAGGAGUAAAGUUAAUGUCCACUCAGCCUGAAAAAUACUUCUGACAAACGCCUGAAAUCCUUUGGAAGGUUUCUGCACUCACAGAAAUGAUGCUUAAUGAUUAACCCUAAGAGAAAUCACGUGGUAAUGUUUAUCUUCACAUAAACCCAGAGCCGUGUGUAAGCCCCAACAGCAACAGGGAGGCACUUAAAUGGGAGAGGGGGACACUGCACCUUAGCAAGGAAGCAAAGGUAAACAGCAAGUGGGAUUUUGUUUAGUAAAUAGCAAAAUGUCCUUUAUCCCUGGUCAGUAUCAGGUUAAGCAGAGUGGUUUGGGUUGGAAGGGACCUUAAAGCUCAUCUUGUUCCAACUCCCCUGCCCAGAGCAGGGGACCUUCAAUUUGUUCAGAGCUGCAUCCUUGAAUUAUUCUGAUCAUAUUUCAAUAGGAAAGUAAAUCUCCCGAUGAAUAUUGAAAUAUUGAUAAUAUUUACUGCUCUUUGAGAGUAGACAGGAUUACAGAGAGCUCCCAGUUUUUAGCUCUUUGCCUGGAUUCCUUGUGAAAGAGCGCACUGAGCUGGGAGUGACAGCUCAGUCCUUCAGUGACACCAAUCUUUCAGGUCCAAAUCCAAGUUGUCUGUAAUUUAAAAAUGAAGUUACUCAUCGCCUGCAGAACUACUGAUCCCCAUGAGAUGUGUGUGUUAUGUCAAAGGGGAUGGAAACAGGUAAAGCUCAAACUGUCCAGAGCAAAUAACUGAGGGUUUGUGCCGCUGAUGGCACAGUGUGACAUGAAUGAAAAACUGCUCUGCAGUUGAUCCAUCUUAAAUAUCAAAACCAGCCGAUGUGCAGCUGCCUUAAUCUCAUCUUUGCAGAAAGGAAAUGAAGGAAGGUGCAGUUCCAGAAUGUGCCCAUCUGGCAGAAAAGCCCUGCACAGCUGUUAGAGCUGGACAAGGAAGAUGCAAAGAUGGAAUGACCUUCUCCCUGUGCUGGGUAAGGCCAGGCCUUGCUAAAUGCUGCCUGGCCCUGGAGUAGUGAAAACAUGGAUCAGUUGGCAGCUGAAAGAACCCUCCUGCAUCUGUCAUCUGUUCAGCACAAACCCACAAAUCUGUUGGUGUUCAGAUGCACUUCUGUAUUUGUACUUUCAGUCAGCUGUCAGCAUCCUCCUGCUUCAUGCUGCAGGGGCUUGAUUUGCUCCCUGGGCAUGUACUGAGUGCUGGGCAGUAACAGAUGUGCUGCUUGUUGAGAGUGCAGAGAGCUGAGGGGAGCAGCCUGGAGGCUGAGGUGAUUAAAAAAGAUGGGACAUUGUGCUCCUCGGAGCCUGCUGUCCUGCACCACUUCAGCAGAGCUCAAGGGGAGUGAAACAGCCAGUCAGUCACAGCUGCCUGGGACACACAAAGUACUAAAGCUACUCUUUGCUUUUACGUCAGUCAUUAGUAGUUACUAUGCUUUGUGGAACAACAACAACAAAAAUACAAGUAAUUUAAAAACAAUAAUUUAAUGGAUUUUAAGAAACCUAAUGCUUUUCUUGCAAGAGUCAUGGUUCACUUUCAUGCAAGUGUCAUUUUCUU
This is an RNA transcript of Hirundo rustica (Barn swallow), 5783 nucleotides long. It is a transcript of the gene named sulfatase modifying factor 1, with no coding region annotated. NCBI's taxonomy places the organism in Eukaryota, Metazoa, Chordata, Aves, Passeriformes, Hirundinidae. The record is from RefSeq and is a predicted model, not a curated record. The transcript is spliced from 13 exons.